AUGGGCAUGGCUAUGGCCAUGGGAGCAAGGUCAACGAUGAAGAAGAGCUUAUUGCUAAUAUUGUUUGUGUGCCCGCUGACCAUCACUGUGACUGAUUGCGCCAAGGACAUCCCUGCCUCUGUUCCCCAGGAUCCUCCAGGAAACAAAAUCUGCGAGACCGUCAACAGAACAUGGCCCUGGUUGAAGUUUUGCGGCAGGCACGGCACCUGCAAUAAGCCAUGCCGGGCAGAAGGGUUCGAGGAAGGCUACUGCGGCAUGUUCCCCUACAUAUCGACCUGUUGUUGCACCAAGCACUGUCUCAGGGCCGCCCCUGGGCAGUCCGUGCAACCCAUGCACAAAGGGGGCAAACAAAUUCAUGCCAUUUUUACAGAAUGCUGA
This 378-nucleotide ribosomal RNA is filed under the name Triticum aestivum (bread wheat). RNAcentral describes it as "partial small subunit ribosomal RNA". Lineage: Eukaryota; Viridiplantae; Streptophyta; Magnoliopsida; Poales; Poaceae. The record is from RNAcentral.